GAUACCCUGGUAGUNCACGCCGUAAACGAUGAGUGNUAGGUGUUAGGCCCUUUCCGGGGGCUUAGUGCCGCAGCUAACGCAUUNAAGCACUCCGCCUGGGGAGUACGACCGCAAGGUUGAAACUCAAAGGAAUUGACGGGGGCCCGCACAAGCGNNNGAGCAUGUGGUUUAAUUCGAAGCAACGCGAANNNCNUUACCAGGUCUUGACAUCCCUNUGACCGCUCUAGAGAUAGAGUUUUCCUUCGGGACAGAGGUGACAGGUGGUGCAUGGUUGUCGUCAGCUCGUGUCGUGAGAUGUUGGGNUAANNNNNGCAACGAGCGCAACCCNUANUGUUAGUUGCCAUCAUUCAGUUGGGCACUCUAGCGAGACUGCCGGUAAUAAACCGGAGGAAGGUGGGGAUGACGUCAAAUCAUCAUGCCCCUUAUGACCUGGGCUACACACGUGCUACAAUGGCUGGUACAACGAGUCGCAAGCCGGUGACGGCAAGCUAAUCUNUGAAAGCCAGUCUCAGUUCGGAUUGUAGGNUGCA
Molecule: ribosomal RNA, 530 nt
Filed under: uncultured bacterium
Lineage: Bacteria
Description: partial 16S ribosomal RNA
Rfam family: Bacterial small subunit ribosomal RNA
Source: RNAcentral